Molecule: non-coding RNA, 3889 nt
Organism: Maylandia zebra (zebra mbuna)
Lineage: Eukaryota; Metazoa; Chordata; Actinopteri; Cichliformes; Cichlidae
Source: RefSeq, a predicted model, not a curated record
CCGUACUUGGCUCCGCCAUUGUUUGACAGGUCUCGUUGCUAACCAGAGGCUUUCAUGGUUACCAACUCAACAACACCAAAAGAAAGAAACUUCCAAGCCUUCCAUGGCUUUAUAGAAAGCUUUUCGACAACACAGAAAGCAUGGAAGAGGACAACCGCCUUAGACAGACUACAAGAUGAAUCCAAACUGCUCCAGCAUUCUAAUGGCCAGGGUAAAGUGACCUGGUGCUUGAGAGAAGCUGUUCAAUGGCUGCAGCAUGCAGGACUCAACGCUUUGCCUUUUGAUCCAGCAGCCAACAACGACCCUCUUCAGUUCAACGGUUCCAGCGGACAGCUGGUGACCGACUGUCCUCCCUUGGAAAACACUGCAGAAAACAGCAAGAAGAGGAAGAGAGCCAGCCUUCCUCCAGAAGGCAUCUGCAACAUGACAAUGGACUCCAACUCGAUUACAAUGCCGAUGUCAGACCCCAACGCCUGGGCGACAGCUAUGAAUAACCUGGGGAUGCCUCCCAUGGGAAUAACUGGACAGCCACUCAUGCCAGAUUUUGACCCUAGCCUUGGUAUGAUGGCUGGAAUUACCCCCAUGAACCCAAUGAUGCCCGGCCUCGGUAUGGUACCUGCAGCUCUCUCCCAAGACGUACCGGUUGUCAAGGAGAUCAUCCACUGCAAAAGCUGCACCUUGUUCCCCCCCAACCCCAACCUGCCCCCUCCGGCAACCAGAGACCGCCCUCCGGGAUGUAAGACUGUGUUUGUCGGUGGUCUGCCAGAAAAUGCCACAGAGCAGCUCAUCAUGGAGGUCUUUGGACAGUGUGGCGAUAUCACAGCCAUACGCAAAAGCAAGAAGAACUUUUGCCAUAUCAGAUUUGCGGAGGAGCCAACUGUGGACAAGGCGCUCUUCCUGUCAGGUUAUCGUAUCCGUUUGGGUUCAAGCACAGACAAAAAAGACACUGGACGCCUCCACGUCGACUUCGCACAGGCCAGAGACGACCUCUAUGAGUGGGAAUGUCGCCAGCGCAUGUUAGCCAGAGAGGAGCGUCACAGACGCAAGAUGGAAGAAGAUCGCCUCCGGCCACCAUCCCCUCCUCCCAUCGUCCACUACUCUGAGCACGAGUGCGGUCAGCUGGGAGACAAGAUCAAAGAUGACGGCAAAUUUCAUGAAGCGGUUCGUGUGCUCCUGACCUGGCUUGAACGAGGCGAAGUUAACCGCAGAAACGCCAACAACUUCUACUCCAUGAUCCAGUCCUCCAACAGCCACAUCCGCCGGCUGAUGAGCGAGAAGAGUCAGCAUGAAAAAGAGAUGGAAGAAGCCAAAGACAAGUUCAAGACUGCUCUGGCUGGUAUACUGGCUCAAUUUGAACAGAUUGUGUCUGUAUUCCAAGCUGCUUCCAAACAAAAGGCAUGGGACCAUUUCUCCAAAGCUCAGCGCAAGAAUCUGGACAUGUGGCGCAAACAAGCAGAGGAGAUUAGAAACAUGCACAACGAGCAGCUGAUGGGCAUCAGACGAGAGGAGGAGAUGGAGAUGUCUGAUGAUGAUAUGGAGGAUGCCCCUGACAGCAAGGACUCUGAGGACUCAGGAGUUUCCCAAGCAGAGGCAUUAAAGGAGGAGAACGACUCCCUACGCUGCCAGCUGGACGCCUACAGGAACGAGGUGGAGCUGCUAAAACAAGAACAAGGCAAAAAUCAGCCAAUUAGGAGCGAGGAGGACAACACUCACUCACAGCAGCUCAGCUUCCUGCAGCAGGCUCUACAAGGCAUGCAGAAGCAACUGUUAAAAAUGAGGGAAGAAUUAAAACAGCGGGAGGCCGAGCUGGAGAAGAGUUUGGAGGAAAAACAACAGCUGAAGAAUCAAGUGCAGAACCUGAAGGAAGGUCUCCAGAACCUGCAAAACGCACACGUAAUGCAGCUGGAGAUGUCGAAGCAAGACGACAGAGGAAGCGAGGAGAGCGCUAAUCAAAGCAGCGAAGCCACAGCGUCGACGGUGGUGUCCUGCAGUCAGGAGAAAGAAGGUCCCACAGAGAGGAAUCCACCAAGUCCUGUCCACUCCGAGAGGGAAGCUCUGCUAGUUGGUACGCUGACACUCUGGCUUUUUCCCAGCACUCUCACUGAGACAUUUCUUAACCCAUGAACUGCUCAGUGGCAGGCCCGGGCCCUUCUGUGUGGAGUUUGCAUCCUCUCCUCACGCUUCCUCCGGGAGCUCUGGUUUCUCACCAAAACAUGCUAAGUAAAUUGUCUUUUCACUGUGCCCUUUACCAGGACACAAGCUUACAGCUACAUUUGAUCGCUGGCUCCUGGUUACAUUCAAAUGCCCCUUUCUCCAGAAAUGUGUGUUUCUUAUAUGCAGAGUUUAUUAUUAUAACACACACCUUACUCGAGCUGCCCUCAGCAUUCAUGGCCCUGCAGCUGCACACAAAGUGUCAGAGUGCCUUGAAGGCAGAAAGUAGGAAGAUUUGGAUAAAGAUUCAGAAACACCAAACAUGGGAAGUCUGGAUGCUGCACCAACCGCUGCAUUUAUGGCUUAUGGGGGGGAAAAAAGGAUGACGACUUCCUUGCAACAAGUAAAAAUCAAGGGUUGCGUUGUUUUUCAUUUUUGCAAAUAGUUGCCGUGACCAGCUGCUUUCGACUGCUUAAGAUUGAAAUGCGAUAGCACAGGUUGCCUGGUGGGAGGCAACAUGUCUCCAAACAGUUGCACUCUUCCUUAGACUGACUGCAGUCGCACUCAGACAGAUUGGCUGAGGCUGGCAAAUAAUGAUCAACUAUGAGAUUUAACUCUGGUUGCAUUCUGGUUAUAAUCUUAUUGAAAGACCAGGUUCCACAGUGGCUGUCACUGUGCAGGUAAAUCACCACCCUGCAGAUACUUUUUAACUCUUUGUGAAGGAAUCUCUGAAUUCCAUUUUUUAAUCUAUGAGUUUGGCAACAAUAUUGCAAGUUUGUGUCUCGGUCUCCAACCACUGUUUUCAUUAGUGUGACUGUAGCUUCAAAGCUUCCUUUCUAUAGAGCGAUCACCUGUUUUUGGAUUUGCCUCAUGGAACAUUUUACAGAAACUUUUAAUCAAGUUCAAGUGUUGUUUAUAUUUAUUGGCUUGUUUCUUCAGGUGCUUGAUAGUUGUGUCAGCUUUCAGACGUAAUAGUUAUACAAUUCUUAGAAAGAAAUGUGGUGUAAAAUAAGAGGAAUGGCAGCAGUGUCUGUUCCUUUCUGGAAGUGAAAAUCACCAUUUGUCAUCUUUUAUGGUCUCAUCAAUGUAAUGAUCAUGAGCUCUGACUCUAGCACAUUCUGGUAAUCUACACACAGACGCAGAGAGUGGGUGCAUAUUGCUCCAGCAAACGUCUGCUGUCAGUUGGAGAAGGUGUUUAUUGGCUGAUUUUUAAGGUGAAUAAGCAUGGACAGCAAAACGAUUGUAGUGGGCGAAUUGUUGCAAAUAAAUCAUCGUGAAUUUUAACUCGGUGUGCUAUCUAAAUGCACCAUUAGAUUCUCAGUCGGUCUCUUAAUCAUUGUCAGUGGAGCAGCUCCAGACGAGCACGCUGUUUGUGUUCAAGUAUCGAUUGACCUCCUGCAGGUGACAAAAAUGAAGUCUUGGCAUACUGUUUUCCUCUAAAAAGACUCUAAUGCUUAUCAUAUUUUUGCUUCGGUGUUUGACCCAGCAGAAAUCAUGGUUGCUUUCACUUUGUUUUGUUAUUGUUGUUUGUUUUUUACUUGUUUUUGCUUCUUUUUUUCAAAUCAGGGUACCUCAAUGCUGCAUAGGUGAUUUGUAAACAGAGGUGGAGGAUUACCUUUCUCCUGGCCCUGUCUGUGAGCUGAUAGCAGAUGGGAUCAUUUCAACGUUCCUGCACGUCCACCCGUUUGGAGCCAGCAUCGAGUACAUCUGUUCAUACCUGCAGCGUUUGGACACCAAG